This 1164-nucleotide long non-coding RNA is filed under the name Homo sapiens (human). RNAcentral's name for it is "HSALNT0225348". The record is from RNAcentral. Lineage: Eukaryota; Metazoa; Chordata; Mammalia; Primates; Hominidae.
UUGAUGUGAGCCAGGAAGACUUUUACCAAAAGUUUUUGCCAAAAGCUGUGCCCUUUUUACCCCUGAUGAGAGCAGAACUUCCUGGGGGACCAUUUGUUACCUGUGGCGCAGAAGCCUUGUGUACCAAAUGAGCUGCAUCCACUCCGACCAGAGCGAUACACUGGAUGAUAAAAAGAUAUCACCUCCCUGAAACAGAUGCUUCAUUUUAUGAUAGAAACAGAGACGCUGAAGCCUGCAGGUGCCGGGCUGACACGCGCUCUGCAGAGAAUCAUUAGAGCCUCCUUAGAGAACUGGGUUUACUCUGUGUUUAAUCAGCCCCAGGCAGAAGAAAUGGCUUCAUUUCAGCUCGACGAGAGCCAGAUCACAAAAGGAAGAUAGAUGGCCAAUACGGCUCAUCACUAUAAGCAUAUUGUCUUAAUUUGAAGGAACAGCCUGGCACCCGUGCUAAUCAGGAAAGAAAGUGCAAUAUGGCUAGCACUGAAGGCCAGUCAGUUUAACUCUCAGUGUACCCCUUAAGGAGAAGCUCUCAUUUAUUUUCUUAAUUAAUAUUUUAAGGGAAGUGAGAAUCACAAAACACAUUACUCAAUCACUUAAGAAGUUCCUUGGCUUAGAAUUAAAGAUGCUCCAGGAAAGACUUUUUAUACCUGAAAACUGUGAAUCUCUACCUAGAAAAAAGUCUUAAAGCCGGUGAAUAAAGUGGCUUAGGAAGAUGAGUGUAAGGCCAUUAUCAUGGACUUUUUCCCCAGCUGCAGAGGUCAAAGUUUGGAGUGCAACUAGAGAGGUUAGCAGUUCACUUUUCCCAGACCGCCUGGCUUCUCAUAGCUUAAUCUCUGGGCACAGCUGCUGUGAGCACACAGUCCCUGGGACUCAUAUCUUGCCCUGCUCCUGGCCUGAUGACAAGACUGGGAGGAACUGUGGGCAGGUAAGGCCAAAGGGAACCUCAGACCAAUAUUUCUCUGGAGGGCAGAGGGACAAACAGAAUCCAGAGGUUGGGAUCUACCUUGGGGACAAUGUCUCAGAGUCCAAUGGUUGCAAUGAGAUGUGUUGUGAGUCAGAGCUAGGGAGGGAAACAGCAGGCACAGGGGAUGUUGAAAGGUCAGCCAGGCAACGGAAACCAGGGGUCAGGAAGAAUUCUGAGCUAUGAUAUCAGUUGGCAUGCAUGGU